AGUGAACGCUGGCGGUAGGCCUAACACAUGCAAGUCGAACGGCAGCACAGUAAGAGCUUGCUCUUACGGGUGGCGAGUGGCGGACGGGUGAGGAAUACAUCGGCAUCUACUUUUUCGUGGGGGAGAACGUAGGGAAACUUACGCUAAUACCGCAUACGACCUACGGGUGAAAGCAGGGGAUCUUCGGACCUUGCGCGAUUGAAUGAGCCGGUGUCGGAUUAGCUAGUUGGCGGGGUAAAGGCCCACCAAGGCGACGAUCCGUAGCUGGUCUGAGAGGAUGAUCAGCCACACUGGAACUGAGACACGGUCCAGACUCCUACGGGAGGCAGCAGUGGGGAAUAUUGGACAAUGGGCGCAAGCCUGAUCCAGCCAUACCGCGUGGGUGAAGAAGGCCUUCGGGUUGUAAAGCCCUUUUGUUGGGAAAGAAAAGCAGCAGGUUAAUACCCCGCUGUUCUGACGGUACCCAAAGAAUAAGCACCGGCUAACUUCGUG
This 492-nucleotide ribosomal RNA is filed under the name uncultured bacterium. RNAcentral's name for it is "partial 16S ribosomal RNA". It matches the Rfam family "Bacterial small subunit ribosomal RNA", at positions 29 to 507 of the family's 1533-position model. The record is from RNAcentral.